GACAGAGGGUGCAAACGUUGCUCGGAAUUACUGGGCGUAAAGCGUGCGCAGGCGGUUUUGUAAGCCAGAUGUGAAAGCCCCGGGCUUAACCUGGGAAUGGCAUUUGGGACUGCAAGGCUUGAGUGCGGCAGAGGAGACUGGAAUUCCUGGUGUAGCAGUGAAAUGCGUAGAGAUCAUGAGGAAGACCAGUGGCGAAGGCGGGUCUCUGGACAGUUCCUGACACUGAGACACGAAGGCCAGGGGAGCAAACGGG
Molecule: ribosomal RNA, 253 nt
Filed under: uncultured bacterium
Lineage: Bacteria
Description: partial 16S ribosomal RNA
Rfam family: Bacterial small subunit ribosomal RNA
Source: RNAcentral